GACGUAGGUGGCGAGCGUUAUCCGGAUUUACUGGGCGUAAAGCGCGUGCAGGCGGUUCGGUAAGUCGGGCGUGAAAUCUCCUGGCUCAACUAGGAGAGGCCGUCCGAUACUACCAGACUUGAGGGCAGUAGAGGGAGGCGGAAUUCUGGGUGUAGUGGUGAAAUGCGUAGAUAUCCGGAGGAACACCGGUGGCGAAAGCGGCCUCCUGGACUGCUCCUGACGCUCAGACGCGAAAGCUAGUGGAGCGAACGGG
RNAcentral lists this ribosomal RNA (253 nucleotides) under uncultured bacterium. RNAcentral's name for it is "partial 16S ribosomal RNA". It matches the Rfam family "Bacterial small subunit ribosomal RNA", at positions 524 to 776 of the family's 1533-position model. The record is from RNAcentral.